UUAUAAUAACUCUCUAAACACACUCUCUCAAACUCUAGCCAACGAAUUUGCCUUGCCCAUAAGCUCCUAAUCAAAGCCCAGCCAUCACAAACAACAAAUCAGAAGCAUCAAAGCCAGAAAAAAAUCAAAAAUCGAAGCUAGAAAAGGUAUGAAAUUCCUUAAUUUUGAAAUCCUUCGAUUCGAUGUUAAUUGAUGCAAUUGAUUGUUUAAAGUAGUGUAAUAGGGAGUAUAUUAAUGUUCUGGGUUGUAAAAUCAUGAACCCAUAACAUCAAAGUGCACGAAUUUGAAGAUUUGAGCAAGUUGGAAAAACCGAAUUUUGUGAGUUUUGGGCAAAUGUCAAGACUUAUAUCUCUGUGAUUAUUUACUGUUUUUGUUGUUUAAAAGUUGUUAGGUGUAGCUGGUUAUGUGGUCUUUAGAUUCCAAAAGGAAUCAGGUCUAUAUCUAUUGUAUAUCGGGAUUUAUAAGCGGUCAAAGUGGGUUGACCGGCAUUGACCGGCUGUUUUUCAAACCCAGAAAAUAUUCUAAGUGUCCAGAAAAUAUUUUUUUGGAAACUGUCAGGCCUUAUAUCUCGGUCAUCUUUAAUGUGUUUUGUGUUCUAAAGGUUGAUAUGUGUAGCUUGUUAUGUGGUAUUUAAUCUCCAAAAAGAAUAAGGUCCAUAUAUAUUACGGAUUAAGAGUUAUUUAAGGUCAAAGUGGGUUGACCGGCAUUGACCAGAAAAUUCUGGGCAGCCCAGAAUUUUAUAAGUGUUAAUUUUUCUGACAAGGUUUGACCAUACUUUAGAUGCUUGAUUUCUUGUUCUUAUGAUGAUUUUAAGUGUUAGCAUUGUAUUCCUACAUGUUGUCUACACACUGGAAUUGAUAUAUCACAUAAACGUUACACGAUCAUCAAGUUAUAGAGGUCCAAAGUAGGCACCUCGAACUGUUCUUCGUGAAGAACAGCUUUGGUAGCUACUUUGAUGGCUGAUUUAUCCCAGAUCUGAUGUUUUUUUAGAGGUUAUGAUUAUUGGAGAUUGUAGUCUGGUAAUUCCUCUACAAGAUCCAAUUUAUAGAUUGUCCAAAUUCGUUAAGAUGAGAGAGUUAUUCACGGUCAAAGUAGGUCACUCGGUUCUGCCUUAUGAAAUCUGGGUAGGCUCAAGAACACCUAUAGCGACGGUUCUGUCGCUAUAGGUGCCUUUAGCGACAGUUAGCAUUUUUAUUUUCUGAAAAUUAAUUUAAAAAUUAGAAAAAUUAGAUUUUAAUUAUAAAAAAUACCAAAUAAAUUGUGAAAAAUUAUUUAAAAGUCUAAAAAAUAGUUUUUAACUAUUUUGAGUAUAUUUCAAAAAUAUUUAGUAUUUUUGGAAUAUAAAAGGUAUUUAUUUAUUUAAUUAUAAUAUUAAAUAAAUUAUUUAAAAAUAGUUUUAAUUCAUGAAAAAUCAUGAAAAAUUAUAUUAUGGUAUAAGAAAAUAUUUUAAGUUAUUUCCCAUGACUUUUAAUAUUUUGUGAUGAAUUUCAUUAAUUAAUUAUAUAUUAAUGAUAUUAAAGUUAUUUAAUGAUUAUAUUAAAUAAUUUAGUUUAAAAAUGAUUUUAAUAUUAUAAAAAUCAUUUUAAAUGAAAUUAAGGUAUUUAAAAAUAUUUUAAGUUAUAAAAUAUAACUUUUAAUAUUUAAAGGAUAAUUUCAUUAAUAAUUUAAUAUUAAUGAUAUUAAGAUAAUAUUAAUGAUAUUUAGUUUAUUUAAUAAUUAUUAUUAAAUAAAUAGUUUAAAAAUGGUUUUAUUUAUUUAAAAAUCAUUUAAAGAGGAUAUUAAGGAUUUAAAAAUAUUUUAAGUUAUAAUUAAUGACUUUUAAUAUUUGGAUGAAUAGUACAUUAAUAUUUAUAUAUUAAUGGUGAUUAUUUAAAAAUGAUUUUAAUUGUUUUAAAAAUCAUUUAAGGGUAAUAUAAAUGUUUUAAAAAUAGUUUGAGUUAUUAUAAAUAACUUUUAUAUUUUGGCAAUGGUUUCAUUAAUAGUUUAAUAUAAAUUAAUUAUUAAUGAUAAUGGAAUUGUUUAAUGUUUAAAUCAUUUAAUUAUGAUUCCGAUGUUUGAAAGUUAUAGCCGGCCAAACUAGCUGACUUGAGAACCGAUUAUGAAGUUAUGAAGUUUUGAGGAACACCUAUAGUAACAGUUAUAUCACUAUAGGCCCGGUAGUGACAGAUUUGAAUUAUUUUAAAUUUUUCAAUUUCUGGAAAAUUCGAAAAUGAUUAAAAAUAAAAUGUUUGAUAUUUACAGAUGUUGAGGUAUAGGAUAAGAGUCUUAGACUCAGUAUUUACCCGAUAAAGCUGUCGGUACGCCGACAAAUGUCAGACCCUAUAAUAGAAAGAAAAGACUUCUGUAAGAGCAUGGAUGAGAUAUUUGAAAAAUGUAUAAAAAUAUUUCAAGUAUAGAAUAUGAACUAAAAGUAUGAUCACUGCGAUUAUGUGAUGACGUGAUUAGACUAUGUGCUGACUGUAAUAGACAGUACUAUGUGUUAUGAUAUAUUGUUCUAAUCGAACGAAUGAUCUGAUUAUUGAUAGGUUGUGAUAAAGAGAUAAAACCUAAGUUGAGAUUUGUAAUCAGCGAAUCAGGCAAGUAUCUUACCUUUGCAUUUCCUUUAUGCAAUGGAC
This 2615-nucleotide long non-coding RNA is filed under the name Panax ginseng (ginseng). Its description in RNAcentral is "long non-coding RNA (PGIN_LNC007173)". Lineage: Eukaryota; Viridiplantae; Streptophyta; Magnoliopsida; Apiales; Araliaceae. The record is from RNAcentral.